AGCUGCAGUAUUCUGACUGUACAAAGGUAGCAUAAUCAUUAGUUUUUUAAUUGAAAGCUGGAAUGAAUGGCUGGAUAAGAAAAUGACUGUCUCUUUUUAAUUGAUUAAAACUUUAUUUUUAAGUUAAAAAGCUUAAAUUUUAUAGAAAGACGAGAAGACCCUGUAGAGUUUAAUAGGUUUAAAUUUGUUUUAAUUAAAGGUUUAAAGUUAUAAUGGAUUUAGCUUGUUUUGUUGGGGUGACAAUAGAAUUUAAUAAACUUCUUUUUUUAAAAUCAUUGAUUUAUGAAUAAAUGAUCCUAAUUUUUAGAUUAAAAGAAUAAAUUACCUUAGGGAUAACAGCGUAAUUUUUUUGGAGAGUUCUUAUCGAUAAAAAAGAUUGCGACCUCGAUGUUGGAUUAAGGUUUAUUACUGGUGCAGAAGCUAGUAAAUUAAGACUGUUCGAC
RNAcentral lists this ribosomal RNA (443 nucleotides) under Tricrania sanguinipennis. RNAcentral describes it as "partial large subunit ribosomal RNA". It matches the Rfam family "Bacterial large subunit ribosomal RNA", at positions 1929 to 2585 of the family's 2925-position model. Lineage: Eukaryota; Metazoa; Arthropoda; Insecta; Coleoptera; Meloidae. The record is from RNAcentral.